AUAGGGAGACACCAUGAUCACGAAGGUGGUUUUCCCAGGGUGAGGCUCAUCCAUUGCACUCUGGGUGUGCUGACCCCUGCGAUUUCCCCAAAUUGGGUAUAUAUAUAU
Anolis carolinensis (green anole) is the source of this 108-nucleotide small nuclear RNA. Its record names the gene U1. It matches the Rfam family "U1 spliceosomal RNA". From Rfam's summary of the family: U1 is a small nuclear RNA (snRNA) component of the spliceosome (involved in pre-mRNA splicing). NCBI's taxonomy places the organism in Eukaryota, Metazoa, Chordata, Lepidosauria, Squamata, Anolidae. The record is from Ensembl.